GUCAAAUGAAUUAAGGCUUACGGUGGAGACCUAGGCAUCCAGAGACGAAGAAGGGCGCAGAUACCGGCGAUACGCUUCGGGGAGCUGGCAACAAGCUUUGAUCCGGAGAUUCCCGAAUAGGGCAACCUCAAGCACUGCCUAUAUAAUUCAUAGUUAGGAAAGAGACAACCCGGUGAAUUGAAACAUCUUAGUAGCCGGAGGAAAAGAAAGCAAAAGCGAUUCCCCUAGUAGCGGCGAGCGAACUGGGAACAGCCUAAACCCAUGAAUAAUUCAUGGGUGUAGUGGGAGGACAUUAAUUAUUUUAACUUCGUUAAAAUAAUAAAUGAUGUUUUUACUGUGUAAAAACAACAUAAAAAAUUAAGUGCAAAAAAGUAAAGACGAAGCAGCUGAAUCCUGCACCAUAGAUGGUGAAAGUCCAGUAGUUUAAAACUUAAAUUUGUAAACCCAAGAAUUAAAUUCUAGGGUUGUUUUUUUAACAUCUUGUUUUUUAAGAUGAAUUAACAUCUUCGAUGUUAAUUAAUAAAGUAAAAAAACACAAACAACACUAACUUUGUCUAAUCCCGAGUAGCAUGGGACACGUGGAAUCCCGUGUGAAUCUGCGAGGACCACCUCGUAAGGCUAAAUACUCCUGGAUGAUCGAUAGCGAAAUAGUACCUUGCGGGAAUGGUGAAAUAGAACCCCCGUUGGGGAGUGAAAUAGAACAUGAAACCGUAAGCUGACAAGCAGUGGGAGGGUAAAUUUACCUGACCGCGUGCCUGUUGAAGAAUGAGCCGGCGACUUAUAGGGAGUGGCAGGGUUAAGAAAUAACAUUCGGAGCCCAAGCGAAAGCGAGUCUGAAUAGGGCAAAUUUAAAGUCACUUCCUAUGGACCCGAACCCGGAUGAUCUAACCAAGACCAGAUUGAAGCUUGGGUAACACCAAGUGGAGGAUCGAACCGACCGAUGUUGAAAAAUCGGCGGAUGAGUUUUGGUUCGCGCAGAAAUUGAAAUCGAAUUCGGAGCUAGCUGGUUCUCCCCGAAAUGCGUUGAGGCGCAGCGGUAACGAUGAGCUGUCUUUAGGGUAAAGCAUACUGUUUCGAUGCGGGCUGCGAAAGUGGUACCAAGUCGUGGCAAACUCAGAAUAUAAGGCAUAGCUUUCCGUUAACCAGUGAGACGGCGGGAGAGAAGUUUCGUCGUCAAGAGGGAAACAGCCCAGAUCACCAGCUAAGGCCCCUAAAUGGCCGCUAAGUGGAAAAGGAUGUGAGAAUGCUGAAACAACUAGGAGGUUUGCUUAGAAGCAGCCAUCCUUCAAAGAGUGCGUAAUAGCUCACUAGUUUAGCGUUCUUGCGCCGACAAUGGCCGGGACUAAGCGGCCUGCCGAAGCUGUGGGAUUUUGACAAAUCGGUAGGGGAGCGUUCUGCUUCGGGUGAAGUUUUCACGUAAGUGGGGGUGGACGAAGCGGAAGUGAGAAUGUCGGCUUGAGUAACGAAAACAUUGGUGAGAAUCCAAUGCUCCGAAAACCGUUGGGUUCCUCCACAAGGUUCGUCCGAGGAGGGUGAGUCAAGACCUAAGAUUAGGCUUAAAAAAUUAAGCGUCGUCGAUGGAAAACAGGUUAAUAUUCCUGUACUGAUUUUUGUGGGUACCGAGGGACGAAGCAGGCUAAACUAGGACUGCUAAUGGAUUACAGUGGAAGCGUUCGAGGUGAAGACAGGUAGAAUAAAAACUAUCCUGGAGCUAAGUCGUUAUCCCAUUUUGUGGAAUUUAUUUCAUAGAAUGCUAGCUAUGUCAUACUUCCAAGAAAAGCUCGUACACCUCUUUUUUAGAUAAAACACAAAAAUUACUUGUACCUGAAACCGACACAGGUAGGUGGGUAGAGAAUACCUAGGGGCGCGAGACAACUCUCUCUAAGGAACUCGGCAAAUUGGCCUCGUAACUUCGGAAGAAGAGGCGCCUUAUUUUUUAUAAGGUCGCAGUGACCAGGCCCAGGCGACUGUUUAUCAAAAACACAGGUCUCCGCUAAGUCGUAAGACAAUAUAUGGGGGCUGACGCCUGCCCAGUGCCGGAAAGUAAAGGAAGUUGGUUAUGAAUUUUUAUUCAGAAGCUGACGACCGAAGCCCCGGUGAACGGCGGCUGUAACUAUAACAGUCCUAAGGUAGCGAAAUUCAUUGUCGAGUAAGUUUCGACCUGCACGAAAGGCGUAACGAUCUGGGCACUGUCUCAGAGAGAGACUCGGUGAAAUAGACUUGUCCGUGAAGAUGCGGACUACCUAAACCUGGACAGAAAGACCCUAUGAAGCUUGACUGUAUCCUGGAAUUGGGUUCGGGCUCUUUUUGCGCAGUCUAGGUGGGAGGCUUUGAAGGUUCCUUUCCGGGGGAACUGGAGCCAUUAUUGAGAGACCACUCUGGAAGAGCUAGAAUCCUAAUGGUGAUCCUUGAAUCAGGACGCUUGACAGUUUCAGGUGGGCAGUUUAUUUGGGGCGAAUGCCUCCUAAAAGGUAACGGAGGCGUGCAAAGGUUCCCUCAGUCUGGACGGAAAUCAGACGUGGAGUGUAAAGGCAGAAGGGAGCUUGACUGCAAGACCGACCAGUCGAGCAGGGGCGAAAGCCGGCCUUAGUGAUCCGACGGUGCCGUGUGGAAGGGCCGUCGCUCAACGAAUAAAAGUUACUCUAGGGAUAACAGGCUGAUCUUCCCCAAGAGUUCACAUCGACGGGAAGGUUUGGCACCUCGAUGUCGGCUCAUCACAGCUCGGAGGGGUAGUACCUUCCAAGAGUUGGGCUGUUCGCCCAUUAAAGUGGUACGUGAGCUGGGUUCAGAACGUCGUAAGACAGUUCGGUCCAUAUCCGGUUUAGGCGUAAGAGCAUUGAGAGGAUCCUUCUCUAGUACGAGAGGACCUUGAAGGACAUACCUAUGGUGUACCAGUUCUUCCGCCAGGAGGAAACGCUGGGUAGCUACGUAUGGAGUGGAUAACCGCUGAAAGCAUCUAAGUGGGAAGCCCACCUCAAGAUGAGUGCUCUCUAUUAGGCCACGGGAAGACUACCCGAUUGAUAGGAAUAUAGUGCAAGACUAGUAAUAGUUUCAGCUUAGAUUUACUAAAGGCCGAUUGAUUUUGAC
This 3087-nucleotide ribosomal RNA is filed under the name Dictyochloris fragrans. RNAcentral's name for it is "partial large subunit ribosomal RNA". It matches the Rfam family "Bacterial large subunit ribosomal RNA". Lineage: Eukaryota; Viridiplantae; Chlorophyta; Chlorophyceae; Sphaeropleales; Dictyochloridaceae. The record is from RNAcentral.